GACAGUGACAGCGCGCCCCAUUGCCAAGAAUAACGUAAGAGAAGGAGGAGGAGGUUGUAGUAAGUAGUAACAGUAACCACGAUGAACAACUGACUAUACACAGCCAAACCACGGUGCUACGCUAAGGAGGUUCCGUUUUGAGCAAGGCAGAAGUAGCGCUUAUGGAAGAGGUUUUAAUAAGCAGUAACAGAAGGAGUAACCAGGAUGAACAACUGACUAUACAGAGCCAAGCCACGGUGCUACGCUAAGGAAGUCCCGUUUUGAGCAAGGCAGAAGUAGCGGCUUAUGAUGGCUCGCCAGGUGGAAUGUCUGGUUGGGUGGCGGGGCGGCGACGCGAGCCAGCACACAUUAUGCUUUAUAUGUGUGAGUGUGGCCCAAGGCUCUAGGCACAAAGACCUGGCACGGAAUCCUCCACUCUGUUGCUUACCGGCGCUGCGUUAGUACACGUUAGCCACCAGGUCUUGCUAAUACUAGGCACUACAUAAAGCCUUCGAGAUAUAAGGAAACAAUGAUAUAAGGAGAUUCCACGGCCACCACCUCAAGUUGGGUAAUACGUAACCUCUGCUACGGGGGUUUCUGCCUUAUAGUUAAAAUAGGAGUGCUUUCUGAGGUCAUUCAAGGCGUGUCACUACUGUUCAAGGGUCUGGUUGGCAUUUCCCUAAACUCCUUUCCUGAUUCCACUGUCGCCACCUCAAGUUAGCUAAUACGUAACCUCUGCUACGGGGGUUUCUGCCUUAUAGUUAAAAUAGGAGUGCUUUCUGAGGUCAUUCAAGGGGUGUCACUACUGUUCAAGGGUCUGGUUGGCAUUUCCCUAAACUCCUUUCCUGAUUCCACUGUCGCCACCUCAAGUAAUCCAAUAUCUAACAUCUGCUACGGGGAUUUUUACAUUUCAGUUUCAAGAUAAGACCUUUU
Molecule: long non-coding RNA, 912 nt
Organism: Eriocheir sinensis (Chinese mitten crab)
Lineage: Eukaryota; Metazoa; Arthropoda; Malacostraca; Decapoda; Varunidae
Exons: 3
Source: RefSeq, a predicted model, not a curated record